UCCCUGGUGACUCAGUAGUAAAGAAUCUGCCUGCAAUGCAGGAGACCCAGGUUCGACCCCUGGGUUGGGAA
This 71-nucleotide transfer RNA is filed under the name Ovis aries (sheep). It matches the Rfam family "tRNA". From Rfam's summary of the family: Transfer RNA (tRNA) molecules are approximately 80 nucleotides in length. Their secondary structure includes four short double-helical elements and three loops (D, anti-codon, and T loops). Further hydrogen bonds mediate the characteristic L-shaped molecular structure. tRNAs have two regions of fundamental functional importance: the anti-codon, which is responsible for specific mRNA codon recognition, and the 3' end, to which the tRNAs corresponding amino acid is attached (by aminoacyl-tRNA synthetases). tRNAs cope with the degeneracy of the genetic code in two manners: having more than one tRNA (with a specific anti-codon) for a particular amino acid; and 'wobble' base-pairing, i.e. permitting non-standard base-pairing at the 3rd anti-codon position. Lineage: Eukaryota; Metazoa; Chordata; Mammalia; Artiodactyla; Bovidae. The record is from Rfam by way of RNAcentral.